Molecule: ribosomal RNA, 497 nt
Filed under: uncultured bacterium
Lineage: Bacteria
Description: partial 16S ribosomal RNA
Rfam family: Bacterial small subunit ribosomal RNA
Source: RNAcentral
GAUGAACGCUGGCGGCGUGCCUAAUACAUGCAAGUCGAGCGAACAGAUAAGGAGCUUGCUCCUUUGAAGUUAGCGGCGGACGGGUGAGUAACACGUGGGUAACAUACCUAUAAGACUGGGAUAACUUCGGGAAACCGGAGCUAAUACCGGAUAACAUUUAGAACCGCAUGGUUCUAAAGUGAAAGAUGGUUUUGCUAUCACUUAUAGAUGGACCCGCGCCGUAUUCCCUAGUUGGUAAGGUAACGGCUUACCAAGGCGACGAUAGUUAGCCGACCUGAGCGGGUGAUCGGCCACCCGGGAACUGAGACACGGUACCGACUCCUACGGGAGGCAGCAGUAGGGAAUCUUCCGCGAGGGGCGAAAGCCUGACGGAGCAACGCCGCGUGAGUGAUGAAGGGUUUCUGCUCGUAAAACGCUGUUAUUAGGGAAGAACAAAUGUGUAAGUAACUGUGCACAUCUUGACGGUACCUAAUCAGAAAGCCACGGCUAACUACGUG